This 2391-nucleotide long non-coding RNA is filed under the name Zea mays. RNAcentral describes it as "long non-coding RNA (ZMAY_LNC000877)". The record is from RNAcentral. Lineage: Eukaryota; Viridiplantae; Streptophyta; Magnoliopsida; Poales; Poaceae.
UGGGAGCUAGCGCAACCUUGCAUGGAUGAUUACGCUGAAGCACAGCGAUGAGUAGGAGAGAGAGAAUAGAGCCGCUGCGACCACGCCUCGCGUUCACCAUCGCCCAGCCUCUCGAUCGCUGGGGAAUCGGGCGAGAUCACCAAGUCGUGCAGAUCGUGCGUGUGGUCAGCAGAGCAAGGAAGUUGGCGGGGGAGACGAAUUGCUUGCCGGUGCUUGGCCGAAUCCUCACCGGGAAUCCUCGGGCGGCACUACAGCGUCGACCGGCCGCAUCGACGUCUUCUCGAGUGGUGAGACCCUACUAAAUUACUCGCCGUAGCAUCCGCAUAGAUGAUCCCCAUUCAAUUUCCGAAUUUAGACCUAGAAAUCGGCAGGGUUGGUUCGCCACCAAUGGCGACAUCGUGCCUUCGCGUUCUGUCGCCGGUCGGGCGCCGUGGUGAGAGAGAGAGGAUUGGGGGGGAGAAAAAUGAAGGGCUUGGGCUGUUGGAUCAUACACGGAUGGCACCGAUCUAAGCGCGCAUACCCCUUCGCUCAAUAGGAUUUGGGCCGUAGAUCUGAGAUCAAGCGAUCAGGAUUUGAUCAUAGUCAUUCUUAAUCUGGACUGACGAUCUUUAAUCCGGUGGUCCUCAUGGCUUACCGGUUCAUUUUUAAUGAAGUCUAAUCCUGGCCGCGGAAUUUAGAUCUGACGGCUGAAGUCAGCCCGUACCCCUUCGGCCGGGGAUAAUUGCACGUGAGCCCUCAUAAAACUAUCAAAUAAACCCGCCGUCCACUCACGUGGAAAACUAAUUAAAUCUAGGUCCUGAGUUUCACAGUUUAGACCCUGUGUUUUCUAGAAAUUGUGUUCGCAGGCCAGAAUUAAUAGGGAUAUUCAUAAUUAAAUCAGAAAAUGAUUUUUUUAUAAAAAUAAAUCUAGGAACUUGUUUAAUUCAUAGUUAAUUCAUUUUAGCUCCGGAUUGAGUUAUUCCAGUUGCAAUAAUUUUGUUUUAAUAUUAUCUAUCAUCUAGUGCUUCUGUUUAGCCAUAAAACUUGAAUUAAAAAUGUUCAUUUGAAUUAAUCUAUUCUAGGUGCUUAACAACUCCAGAAAUUCAUAACUUGUUAACCGUAACUCCGAAUUUAGUAAUUCUUGUUCCUAUGAUCUCGUUACGCAGCUUAGAAUAUUAUUAUGUAGUUUGAUCUUAUAUUUGGUGUGAUGUUAAUUUUGCAUAUACAUGUUUGUCUGUAUUACUACGUUUAGCAGUGAGGACACGAGUUACCUGAAGAUCAUCCUGGUACCUGGAAUCUCAAGUCCCAGGCAAGUUGUGCCCUUGAUCACUUCUUUUUACCCAGUCAUGUUCUGAUUAAUCAUAAUGAUCUGCAUAUGUUAAUUUUGAUGGGACCCAAUAGGUUACCCUAGUUUGAUUAUCUUUAUACCUUGAUUACCACUGGACUUUUUGGGUAGUACCUGCUAUUGCUUUAUGUGGUUUUGGGUAUGAAGAUUACAUUAUUCAUGAUUACACUUUUGUUAUUAGUUGUUAUUUACUAUUCAUGAUAAGAUCAUUAUGUUAAUUGGAACAUGGAGAACCACCCGGGAAAACAGUGCUACCACAAGGGUUUAUGGACGCCCUUGGCUGAUUAACUAGGAAAGCUAGUGGAGGUCUUCCUUACCCGAAAGGGGCAAGGGCAGUAGGGGAGUGGUCAGUGUAGGGAGGUCCUUGGUUGAUUUUGCUGCGAUGGCGGUCAGGCAAGAACCCUGCAUUGGAGCUUCCUAUAAACUGUAGCGGGAUUUCUGAAGCUAGUGGAACUUUGUAAAGGCCUCGUAGUGUUACCCUGCCUCGCCUCCUCGGUAGAGGUGUAUGGGAUUGGCCGUCUCUUGGCAGAUGGGUAACAUGACUUGUGCGUAAAGAUGUGCAACCUCUACGGAGUGUAAAACUGGUAUACUAGCCGUGCUCACGGUCAUGAGCGGCUCGGACACUCACAUGAUUAAAUUAUGGAACUUAAACUCAAUUUGUCAUAUGCAUUGCAUCGCAGGUGAGGUUGUUACUUUUGUUCUACUAAAUUGGGAUGGUAUUUACUUAUACUUAGUAAUUGCUAAUAAAAUUUUGACCAACUUUAAAAGCAAUGCUCAGCUCUAACCAUCCUCUUUGGUAAGCUUACACUUCACGUGAGCUCCCACCUUUGGCGAGUUCAUGCACAUUAUUCCCCACAACUUGUUGAGCGAUGAACGUAUGUGAGCUCACUCUUGCUGUCUCACACCCCCCACAGGUCAAGAACAGGUACCACAGGAUGAGGCGCUUGGAGGAUGCUGUGACGAGUUCGUGAGAGGUCUAGGUCGUCGUCUCCCAGUCAACUUUGGGUUGCUGGACCGUUGUCUCCAUAUAAUGUAUUUAUUUAUUUAUUUUGUACAAAACUCCGAUU